AACGAACGCUGGCGGCAGGCCUCAAACAUGCAAGUCGAGCGCCCAGCAAUGGGAGCGGCGGACGGGUGAGUAUCGCGUGGGAAUGUACCUAGUGGUUCGGAACAACUCAUGGAAACGUGAGCUAAUACCGGAUGAGCCCGUAAGGGGAAAGAUUCAUCGCCAUUAGAUCAGCCCGCGUCUGAUUAGCUAGUUGGUAGGGUAACGGCCUCACCAAGGCGACGAUCAGUAGCUGUUCUGAGAGGAAGAUCAGCCACACUGGGACUGAGACACGGCCCAGACUCCUACGGGAGGCAGCAGUUGGGAAUCUUGGACAAUGGGCGCAAGCCUGAUCCAGCCAUGCCGCGUGAGUGAUGAAGGCCUUAGGGUUGUAAAGCUCUUUUACCCGGGAAGACAAUGACCGUACCGGGAGGAUAAGCUCCGGCUAACUUCGUGCCAGCAGCCGCGGUAA
RNAcentral lists this ribosomal RNA (448 nucleotides) under uncultured bacterium. RNAcentral's name for it is "partial 16S ribosomal RNA". It matches the Rfam family "Bacterial small subunit ribosomal RNA", at positions 29 to 523 of the family's 1533-position model. The record is from RNAcentral.